ACAUGGCGGUGAUGAUAAAAACUUUCAGCAAACAUGUCAGUUCUACUUAUGAUAAUUCAUGACUGAAAACCUGUUAUAUAGAUCUGAGCCAUGA
This is a non-coding RNA of Triticum aestivum (bread wheat), 94 nucleotides long. NCBI's taxonomy places the organism in Eukaryota, Viridiplantae, Streptophyta, Magnoliopsida, Poales, Poaceae. The record is from Rfam.